UUUACAACAACAAAAAUGAAAAAUUAUAAACAUAUAAAUUUAAAUUAAGAAAAACUAACAUUGGAAAAACAAGAAGUUAAUGUAAAAGAAAAAAAUCGACAAAUAAUAUUAUAAAUAAAAUAAAUUUAUAAGACACAAUCCGCGCGAAGCGCGGAAAAAAUCUCUAGUCUAACCUAUACUAAAAGGAGAAUAAGCUCAAAGCUCAGCCUAUCCACGUCACCUAAGAAAAUCAACCAAUCAUAAGACUCUAUUUUGACACAUCACCUUGGCUAAAAUAGAAUGCAGUUUCGUAUGGGCUUUAUUUAUAUUAUCGGUCGGCCCAUUUGAGCACAUGCCCAAAAAUCUGUUUCGUCGUCGUCUUCAAGCGUCAAGAGUCUCUCCCCCGACUCUUCCACUUCAUCUUCUCCAAUGUCUGGGUUUUUUUUUUCCAUUACCUUCUCAAUCAAUGAGGAUGUUAAAGCUAUUCUCCAACGUUUUGUUCCACCUACCCUUGAUACUUCUCCUAUAUAAAGCUCUAUCUCUGACCUAAAUCCAUCCAGAAUCAAAAACCCUACUCUGCAGAAACUAAAUUGCAAUGAAAUCCACAACGAAGUCUCAGCUUACCACCGGCAUAUCUCCCGUCGCCGUCUAUUUCAACGACAUCUCACCAAGACCAGAUGAGUCACAGCUUUGGUUUCAGGUAAUACAUCCUUUUAGCAGGCUUCUUCGUUUAAAUGUGGCUCUUUACUUAUAUCUUCUUUUAAAACUGUUGUUAUUUCGUUUCUCAUGGUUUUGAAUCUAAAAAUGCUUAGAUUCUCUAUUAGUCUCUUACUCUGCUUAUAAAUUGGUUUCAGAAUAAAGUCGGCCAGGUAUGUGAUACUUAGCCACCUUGAGCACGUACACAUAUGUGUCUCACAAUGGAGAGAAAGUUGUUGUAAAAAUACAAAGAUCUGGACUAAACUUUUCGAUAUAGAUCUAUGUAACAACUUUUGUGUUAUAUUAUACAACCUUUGGACAUGGAUGCUUUAUUAAUGCUAAAAAUGACAUAUUUUCUUAUCAGGAAAUUUGAUGUUGCUUGAUGAAUAUUUCUGGAAAAGUGAUUCAAUUGCCCCAAACGCCCCGGAUGGUAUUUACGAAAAAUGUGUCAUGUAAGUCUUUUUAACAUAAAGUAGUUAUAACUCUGGCUCUAAAACAUGUGGCGCUGAUAUAUCAAGAGUAAUGCUAAAGUGUCAAACUUAUAAUGGUUUCAAACUUAUUUUAUGGUUUGGCUGUUUUAGAUACUCCAAACCGCCUACUUUCAUGAUGUUUAAGUCAAUUUCAAUAAUCUUGAUAAUCAAGACAAAGCUUAACCACUGUUUGAAAAAAUAUUUACAAUCCAUUAUUUGUUCAAUUAGAUAUUUAAUCAUAAAUAAGAGACUAAAUCAUGUUAUUAUGUAUACACUAUAUAUUGUUCUCUGUUUGUAGCUUGGAGAUAACCAAAGUUAUGAGUCAUGAAACUUUUUUAAAGGACAGGUGGUGCGCUCUGGGAAUCACAGCAAGGAUCCUCAGUACCACAGUCUGGAUCACUUCUUUGACAGGUUCUAACAUGAUCAUGCCACUUUGGUUACACAUUGGGUCUUUUGAUUUCGAAAGUAUUUGAAUUUAUAUUAGUUCUGUGUUUUGAUAUAAGCAAGCCUCUAAAUGUAGACCCCAAAAACAUUUAUGAUAGUUUACAGCGACUACAUUUAGAUCCGACAUGGGUUAUUGGUUCGAUGAGGCUAAAUAGUUAUAUUUACAUGAAGUUCAUGGUCGGCUUCAGUGCAAAUGCAAAGGUUACAAAAUAAAAUACCUGAUUUAUCUCCAUUUAUAGAGUUAGUUUCAUUACAAAGUUCCCUCUGUUUUCUUUGUUUGAUGAAAAUAUGUAAAUAAAUUGUAGGCAGCGAAUGUAUAUAAGAAGAAAGCUGAAAGUCCUACAAAAACAUGGAUACGACAUGUUAUAGUUACUGGUAUCAGUUUCACAGAUUCUGUCUUCGUCCUCUUCAUUUCUUAUGUAGCCAGUUUGUAUGAUAUUGGCUCAAAUUAUUCUUUUUUGUUUUCUUCUCUAUGUUUCAAACAAUAGCUCUGUUUUGAGAGAGUGGAAGCUGUAAAUCAUCAGUAACUGUGGCAGAGGUUUAACGAUCCCAAUCAGGACAGACACUCUUUGCAGAGUUGAUAUUAAAGCCAUCAGUUGAAAAGGGUAAGGCAGCAAAGCAGGCUGGUAAGCCAAAAAUAAGUUUUGUACAGUGUAAGUAAACAGAGCAAACAUUGCUAACGAAAAAGGAGGAAAAGCCAGUGAAACCAGUAUCAUCUAUGUAACUGAGCUACCUAACGCUCAUGGCUUCAUUAGUGGACUGCAACAGGCCUAUGAUACAAUGGUGGGUGAAAGAGGACUUCAGUUAUCAGGCAGAAAAUAGUAGAGAGUGGUAGCCAUAGCAAUUUUUAAAGAUCCUAUGGUGUGGGCCGUGUGGUUUAGGGAUGAAGCAACAAUUACUGUUGAUAUUUAGUCAGAGUCUGUGGUUCAUGAGUUAAUUGCAUAGGUUAGAAAGAAAAGCAAGCCACUGAUCCCAAUAUAUGAGGGUCUCUAUGUUUCUUUAGUACAACUUCAUUUGACUGCUUCUGCGAAAACAUUUUUUAAGGGAUUACCUACCAUUUGAGCAAAUAUGGAAUUGACAGCAAACCUAUUUUUCAUUAUGAAUGAUUACAGAGCUUCGAGAAUGACAUUGACUUUCACAGAAUGUUAAAAAAAAUUGAUCUAACAAAGCCAGUGCAAUCCUAACGAACCCUGCAAUGGCAGAACGCUGCAUCCAUUACUUCUUACAAGUAUAAAAGGGAUCACGGCAAUUCCUAGGCUACUUUGGUGAAAAGGUUCGCGGGAAUACAAAGAAUGAGGAAGAAAAAGGAUGCAGUACUGAGGACUCCUUUCUCUGAUCACCAUGUCCGUGAGCUGCUGUAUGUCUCCGUAAUUAAUAGACUCUUCAAAAUAAUUCCAUAUCGGAAAAGCCUGUCAAUACUUUCCUAACUUGAAUAGAACUUCGUUACUUGAUUUGUUCAGAAUUAUUUUUUGGAUAUUACAUGGGCGAGGUGCAUAUAGCUUGGUGUCUCUCAAUGCUCAUCAGGUGAUAUCAAAAAUUUAUAACCGAUUAACCUCUAAUCCUAAAAGAAGAAGGUGAUGACGUGCUCUUAAUAUUAUCAUCAUGUCUAACUCAUGUGAAUUAUCAACUUAACAAACUCAUUAGAUUCACUCUUUGGGUUAUACAGUUAUGUUCACCCGAAUUGAUUCAGAAAACACAAGCAAUUCUAAUUAUCUACACCUGUCCCCUUUUCACAUAAUUUAAUCUACAUGUUACAUUGUUACCUAUAUUAAAAUUUAUUAAAUCACAAAUGUUUUCAUUACUUUUUUCUAAACAGCAAAAGAGUGAAGAAAUGUAAUAAUAUAACUAAUACUAAUGCAACAUAAUAUUACAAAUAAAUGUUUAAAAAAUACAUAUUACAAACAAUAUGAAUACUCAAUUUGUUUGUAGAGGUUACGAAAUUUAGAACUACUUUUUCAGCAUUCAUACUUCAGUCACUUAACUAACCAAUUAAAUUGUUUCCGUUCUCCAUUGAAAAAGGCGUCGUUCACAGAGAUGUAAAGCUAGGUAACUUUGCGUUCUCUACAAAGAGUCAGACCCGACUUUGAGAGUGUGCCCAUGGAGUAAAUGCACAGGGCCCAACUUUUACUAAUUUUCUUUAGAAUUUAGGGCCCUAAAUUUUUUAAACCAUUACAAAACAGGACCUAAUAAUUUUAAUGAUUUUACUUUAUUGAAUAACAUUUGUAAAAAAAUUUGGACUAGCACUAGACCCUCAAUCCCCAUGAGACGGGCCUGCAAAGAGCAAACAAGCUAUCUCAUUGCCUUUAUAACCUCGCCACAGUUAGCAAUUCUCUAGCACGUUUCUCUUAUCUAUAGCAACAACUACCGGUUAAUGUUUCAUAUAAAAUAAUCAUAGGUAACAAUCAUAUUUUUUGAAUACUAAGGCCAUUGUCUAAUAGAAGCACUGAACAACUUUGCUAACACAUGCGUUCAUGUUAAGAUAGCUUUAUGAUAUAACCCUAAUCACUGAAUAAUUUUGAUAUAUUUGAACUUUUUUUUUUUACAAAAUUGAGAUAAAUUUUAAAUUUAGUUUCACGUUUUCAGACUAAUUUUAAUUGAUUAUCUAUAAAAACAGUAUUGAAAGACCAUGUUGUCAACUACAUAAUACCAAAUAAGAAUAUAUACAUAAUACACAAAACCAAACUACAUUACUCUUUUUAGUGUAGAAUAUGCGCUAAAAAAGAUAGAAUUUCAUAUUUCAAAUAUACGUCAAAUAAAAAAAUAAAGUUGUUAGAAAUAUACAAAUUAAGUUAGUACAAAAAUAUUUACAGAUUAUGUUAAGAAAACUAAAUACAAAAUUAAAGUAAACAUUUAACAUA
Long non-coding RNA from Brassica rapa (field mustard), 4447 nucleotides. RefSeq lists it as uncharacterized. NCBI's taxonomy places the organism in Eukaryota, Viridiplantae, Streptophyta, Magnoliopsida, Brassicales, Brassicaceae. The record is from RefSeq and is a predicted model, not a curated record.